AGUGAACGCUGGCGGUAGGCCUAACACAUGCAAGUCGAACGGCAGCACAGUAAGAGCUUGCUCUUACGGGUGGCGAGUGGCGGACGGGUGAGGAAUACAUCGGAAUCUACUUUUUCGUGGGGGAUAACGUAGGGAAACUUACGCUAAUACCGCAUACGACCUACGGGUGAAAGCAGGGGAUCUUCGGACCUUGCGCGAUUGAAUGAGCCGAUGUCGGAUUAGCUAGUUGGCGGGGUAAAGGCACACCAAGGCGACGAUCCGUAGCUGGUCUGAGAGGAUGAUCAGCCACACUGGAACUGAGACACGGUCCAGACUCCUACGGGAGGCAGCAGUGGGGAAUAUUGGACAAUGGGCGCAAGCCUGAUCCAGCCAUACUGCGUGGGUGAAGAAGGCCUUCGGGUUGUAAAGCCCUUUUGUUGGGAAAGAAAAGCAGCAGGUUAAUACCCCGCUGUUCUGACGGUACCCAAAGAAUAAGCACCGGCUAACUUCGUG
Molecule: ribosomal RNA, 492 nt
Filed under: uncultured bacterium
Lineage: Bacteria
Description: partial 16S ribosomal RNA
Rfam family: Bacterial small subunit ribosomal RNA
Source: RNAcentral